GUCCAAUCCGUCCACCAGCUCUUUAGAAUGUGAGCGCUGGCAGCGAGGGCAGCCGACGAAUGCACAGCUAAGGAAAUAUUUACAAUUAGCAACUCUCCAAAGACGAAAAGCUGAGCGAGUCUUUUCCUGAGCUGCUCGUAUGUCACGUUGAGGACGCAGCAGAGGAAGGCGGAGCGUGCAGCGGGGAGCUGGCCAUGUCUGCAGCCAGAAACAGAGAAGCUGUGCAUGCUUUGUGGGGAGGCGCUACAGAGUGUUGAACCACCUCGACUCUUUGGAGGAGGAGCUUCAGAGGGAGGCGUGGUUUUGGAUUUUUGAUGAUACUUCGACUUUAUUCUUCACCAGAAUCGUGCAGAUGUUGUUUGAUUGAACUGGUUUGAGAACACAAGCGACCGAUCCAACAGCUGUCAGCACAGAAUGAUUCAAAUGGUGCUGAAUUCUGUUCGAAUGCAGAAAUGUGUGACUUUUUCCAACACAAAUACAAAAACAACCCAAAACUGAAUAAUGCGUUUAACAAGGAAUCAAUCACAAACAGUAAAAAGCUCCUUUAAAAAUGUGCUUUUGGUGCCUUCAAGUCUUUGGGUCUCUGCUUUUCGCUAGUUGAGAAAUUUUUAUCCUCGUUAAUGACGAUCGAAGGAGAAAUCUGAUGUGUAGAGUUUACAGGUUCAGUCUUAAACCUCCUGAACUGUUCCAAUGACAACAAACAUGUUUGAUCUUCAUGAGCUAAACUUGGGAUGGUUAUGGUUGCUACGGUAACGCAGUCUAGCCCGCGAGGCUAACGUUAGCUGCACAUAUCAAAAGUGAGGAACUAAAGUUGACUGUAUUGUCCCAACUUUUUUUUUCCUUCUGCUUUUGUUUUCUUCUCACUGCAAAGUCCUUUUAGCAUUACAGCAUUUUUCUUUACAUAUAGGGCCUCAUGAGAUCAUGUGAUGUGGCGCGCUGCUUCCUGAUUGGUCCGUCUUUCGCAGUGCUUUUAAUAACAUCCUGCGGUGGGAGAUGAACCAUUAUGUUCAUGUUUUGUGCAUGUCUUAGAUUAGAGGGGAGAAUAUGUGUGAAGUUUGUGUGUGACGAUUUCUAAAUCUGUUGGUAUUUUAAAACUCUUCCUCCUCUGCCGCAGAUGAAGGCCGGCGCUGUUAAUCUGUCACUGCUUUGCACCUCCAUAAAUCAGCAGAAUCCUUCUGGUUGAACUAAUAAUGAAAAUAAUAAUAAUAAUAAAUUGAGCUUCAAAGAUGA
Molecule: long non-coding RNA, 1230 nt
Organism: Stegastes partitus (bicolor damselfish)
Lineage: Eukaryota; Metazoa; Chordata; Actinopteri; Pomacentridae
Exons: 3
Source: RefSeq, a predicted model, not a curated record